This 253-nucleotide ribosomal RNA is filed under the name uncultured bacterium. RNAcentral describes it as "partial 16S ribosomal RNA". It matches the Rfam family "Bacterial small subunit ribosomal RNA", at positions 524 to 776 of the family's 1533-position model. The record is from RNAcentral.
UACGGAGGGUGCAAGCGUUAAUCGGAAUUACUGGGCGUAAAGCGCACGCAGGUGGCUGAGUCAGUCGAUUGUGAAAGCCCUGGGCUUAACCUGGGAAUUGCAGUCGAUACUACUCAGCUAGAGUAUGGGAGAGGGUAGUGGAAUUCCCGGUGUAGCGGUGAAAUGCGUAGAUAUCGGGAAGAACACCAGUGGCGAAAGCGCUCUACUGGGCCAUAACUGACACUGAGGGACGAAAGCUAGGGGAGCGAAAGGG